GGAUUGGAUGAGAUAUAAGCUGUCUUGAUAAUAUUUAAUUGAAUUUAAUUUUUUAUUUAAAAAGUUAAAAUAAUUUAAAAAGACGAGAAGACCCUAUAGAGUUUUAUAUUAAAUUAAAUUAAAAUUAUUUAUAUAAUUAUUAAUAUAGAUUUAAUUUUAGUAUUUUGUUGGGGUGACAAAAAAAUAAAUAAAACUUUUUUUAUUAUUUACAUAAAUAAAUGAAUUUUUGAUCCAAUUUUAUUGAUUAAAAGAAAAAAUUACCUUAGGGAUAACAGCGUAAUUUUUUUUUUUAGUUCUUAUAAAAAAAAAAGUUUGCGACCUCGAUGUUGGAAUCAGGACAAA
RNAcentral lists this ribosomal RNA (342 nucleotides) under Samia ricini (Indian eri silkmoth). RNAcentral's name for it is "partial 16S ribosomal RNA". Lineage: Eukaryota; Metazoa; Arthropoda; Insecta; Lepidoptera; Saturniidae. The record is from RNAcentral.